This 348-nucleotide ribosomal RNA is filed under the name Oidium heveae. Its description in RNAcentral is "SSU rRNA". It matches the Rfam family "Eukaryotic small subunit ribosomal RNA", at positions 20 to 370 of the family's 1831-position model. Lineage: Eukaryota; Fungi; Ascomycota; Leotiomycetes; Helotiales; Erysiphaceae. The record is from RNAcentral.
GUAGUCAUAUGCUUGUCUCAAAGAUUAAGCCAUGCAUGUCUAAGUAUAAGCAAAUUUAUACCGUGAAACUGCGAAUGGCUCAUUAAAUCAGUUAUCGUUUAUUUGAUAGUACCUUACUACUUGGAUAGCCGUGGUAAUUCUAGAGCCAAUACAUGCUAAAAGCCCCGACUUCGGAAGGGGUGUAUUUAUUAGAUUAAAAACCAAUGCCCUUCGGGGCUCUUUGGUGAUUCAUAAUAACUUAACGAAUCGCAUGGCCUUGUGCCGGCGAUGGUUCAUUCAAAUUUCUGCCCUAUCAACUUUCGAUGGUAGUAUAUGGGACUACCAUGGUUUCAACGGGUAACGGGGAAU